This 468-nucleotide ribosomal RNA is filed under the name uncultured bacterium. Its description in RNAcentral is "partial 16S ribosomal RNA". It matches the Rfam family "Bacterial small subunit ribosomal RNA", at positions 28 to 507 of the family's 1533-position model. The record is from RNAcentral.
GACGAACGCUGGCGGCGUGCUUAACACAUGCAAGUCGAACGGAAAGGCCCUGCUUUUGUGGGGUGCUCGAGUGGCGAACGGGUGAGUAACACGUGAGUAACCUGCCCUUGACUUUGGGAUAACUUCAGGAAACUGGGGCUAAUACCGGAUAGGAGCUCCUGCUGCAUGGUGGGGGUUGGAAAGUUUCGGCGGUUGGGGAUGGACUCGCGGCUUAUCAGCUUGUUGGUGGGGUAGUGGCUUACCAAGGCUUUGACGGGUAGCCGGCCUGAGAGGGUGACCGGCCACAUUGGGACUGAGAUACGACCCAGACUCCUACGGGAGGCAGCAGUGGGGAAUGGUGCACAAUGGGCGGAAGCCUGAUGCAGCAACGCCGCGUGCGGGAUGACGGCCUUCGGUUUGUAAACCGCUUUCGCCUGUGACGAAGCGUGAGUGACGGUAAUGGGUAAAGAAGCACCGGCUAACUACGUG